This 566-nucleotide long non-coding RNA is filed under the name Dasypus novemcinctus (nine-banded armadillo). Its description in RNAcentral is "lncRNA (ENSDNOG00000050709.1)". Lineage: Eukaryota; Metazoa; Chordata; Mammalia; Cingulata; Dasypodidae. The record is from RNAcentral.
GCAUUAAACUUUAUUGUGCACUAAGAAUUUAUUUGUGCUCUUUUAGGUCUGAGCGAUUCAGAAUACAUGUAUUUCUGUAACGGGAAAGAUGAUUGAUGGACGACUUUACUUCAAGAGCUCGGAGCCCAGCGUUUCUAUGACUCUGGAUGUGCAGUCCUGGAGAUGCCUUGACGUGAUCUGUCCUAACAGUGAUUCUGAGGUGCAGAACCUGCUCCAGAGACUGCACCUCACGGACAGAAAAGAAGACUACGUCUUCUUGAAAUCAAGGAAGACGCGAGGAGGAAAGGUGCCGCAGUCCUGACGACGUGACUUACUGGGCCCGUGGGCUGGAGCUGACCAAGGGAGCGUGCCCCGAGCGCUUGUCCCACAGGCCACUGAGCCGUGUGCGCUUCAGUGCAAGGUGCCUGCCCUUCUACCAGCGUCGGUGGGCCAGGCGCUCCCAGGCUCUCAGGCUUUAGCUUUUGUGUUAAUGAUACAACAUGAGAUGAUGGUGGGCUUCCUACUUAUUGGACACUUACCGGGCAUUAAAAGUUAAACUAAAUGUGGUCUUUGGAAAGCAACAGGGU